This 253-nucleotide ribosomal RNA is filed under the name uncultured bacterium. RNAcentral describes it as "partial 16S ribosomal RNA". It matches the Rfam family "Bacterial small subunit ribosomal RNA", at positions 524 to 776 of the family's 1533-position model. The record is from RNAcentral.
GACGUAGGGCGCGAGCGUUGUCCGGAUUUAUUGGGCGUAAAGGGCGCGUAGGCGGUGCGGUAAGUCACCUGUGAAACCUCUAGGCUCAACCUAGAGCCUGCAGGCGAAACUGCCGUGCUUGAGGGUGGGAGAGGUGCGUGGAAUUCCCGGUGUAGCGGUGAAAUGCGUAGAUAUUGGGAAGAACACCGGUGGCGAAGGCGGCGAGCUGGUCCAUUACUGACGCUGAGGCGCGACAGCGUGGGGAGCAAACAGG